This 493-nucleotide small RNA is filed under the name Pongo abelii (Sumatran orangutan). Its description in RNAcentral is "processed transcript". Lineage: Eukaryota; Metazoa; Chordata; Mammalia; Primates; Hominidae. The record is from RNAcentral.
GUUGCUCCUCCCCUGGCAGCCGUGCGGGGGGUUAGAUCUCAGCCGGAGCGGGAGCUGGGCCUAGCUGUCCCCACGGGCCACCACUACCUCCUUUGGUUCGGGAGAAAGCUACGACUGAGUACUCCCAGCCGUCCCCGCUCGGGCCUUGGAACUUCUGAACGGGCAGUGCGGGUAGACCCUGCUUAGCCCUUCCCAGAGGACACCUGACCAAAAGAGGAAGAUAGUCUUGGGACCCCUGCAUGGUGUUUCAAAGGGUGGUGAAGAACUAAGAUAUCUUCUUGAAGCCCUGCAUCCUCCCAUUCUAAUUUGAACUGUUAGCUUCCCAUCACUGUCGUCUCGGGUAGAAGAAUACAUGUUCACUUCCAGUGAACAAGAGCAUGUUCCCGAACUCAAUUUUGGGUCGCCCACCCUUCACUCCAAAUCAUCAACAACAUAAUAACUUCUUUACCCUGUCACCUACUGUUUAUUCACACCAGCAGCUUAUAGAUGCACA